GAUGAACGCUAGCGGCAGGCCUAAUACAUGCAAGUCGAACGGUAAGUAUGGUAGCAAUAUUAUACGAGAGUGACGUACGGGUGCGUAACACGUAUGCAGCCUACCCUUUACAGGCGGAUAGCUCGGGGAAACUCGAAUUAACCCGUCAUAAUAUAAUUGGAUGGCAUCAUUUGAUUAUUAAAACUCCGGUGGUAAAGGAUGGGCAUGCGUCUGAUUAGUUAGUUGGCGGGGUAACGGCCCACCAAGACGAUGAUCAGUAGGGGAACUGAGAGGUUGAUCCCCCACACUGGCACUGAGAUACGGGCCAGACUCCUACGGGAGGCAGCAGUAGGGAAUAUUGGUCAAUGGAUGCAAGUCUGAACCAGCCAUGCCGCGUGCAGGAAGAAGGCCUUCUGGGUUGUAAACUGCUUUUGCCAGGGGAUAAAAUUUCCUUGCGAGGAAAAUUGAAGGUACCUGGUGAAUAAGCCACGGCUAACUACGUGCCAGCAGCCGCGGUAAUACGUAGGUGGCAAGCGUUGUCCGGAUUUAUUGGGUUUAAAGGGUGCGUAGGCGGCUUUGUAAGUCAGUGGUGAAAUAUGUCAGCUUAGCUGAGAGGGUGCCAUUGAUACUGCAGAGCUUGAGUACAGAUGAGGUAGGCGGAAUUGACGGUGUAGCGGUGAAAUGCUUAGAUAUCGUCAAGAACACCUAUAGCGAAGGCAGCUUACUAGGCUGUAACUGACGCUGAGGCACGAAAGUGUGGGGAUCAAACAGGAUUAGAUACCCUGGUAGUCCACACUGUAAACGUUGAUUACUCGCUGUGUGCGAUAUACAGUACGCGGCCAAGCGAAAGCGAUAAGUAAUCCACCUGGGGAGUACGCCGGCAACGGUG
RNAcentral lists this ribosomal RNA (868 nucleotides) under uncultured bacterium. RNAcentral describes it as "bacterial SSU rRNA". It matches the Rfam family "Bacterial small subunit ribosomal RNA", at positions 28 to 896 of the family's 1533-position model. The record is from RNAcentral.